This 538-nucleotide long non-coding RNA is filed under the name Eucalyptus grandis. RNAcentral's name for it is "long non-coding RNA (EGRA_LNC002942)". The record is from RNAcentral. Lineage: Eukaryota; Viridiplantae; Streptophyta; Magnoliopsida; Myrtales; Myrtaceae.
CCACUUUUCAAGUAAUCAAACAUGGAAAUUGUCGGUAGGGAAAAAAGCUGGUCGAGUAAGCUGGUGUCGGAAAAUCCUCUCGAUAUGUAGAGCUCUAUCUACCUCUAAUGGUAGUUUCCAUCAACCCUAACCCAAUCCCUCUUAACAACCAUCAUCAUCUCUAUACACUACCUAUCCCCAAUUUCUUCCCCACCUCGUACCUUUGUUCCACCAUUUCUUGUUUUCUUUCUCGUAGCGCAACACUGUCGCUUCUCCUUGACUUCAGUUUUAUCGGACGACGAUCAACCCCAAAUCCGCAGUUCCGGCCAUCUCGUUCUCUUCCAUUCUCGUACUUGGAGGGAUUGCAUGGCUUGAUGUCUCCCUCAUUUGGUUCAAAGGUGACUUCUCUCCAACUUUUAUCGAGCUGGGUUUGUUCCAUUCCUUGAAUUGCCCUUGGGUGUGUACCUACAUGCAUCUCGUUUUUGGUUCUGGCAUCAACGUACUUCAGAAUAAUUUUGGUUUGGCAAAACUUGUAUUUCGCCUAUCAAAUGGCUUCAAA